RNAcentral lists this ribosomal RNA (406 nucleotides) under Acidobacteriota bacterium. RNAcentral's name for it is "Acidobacteria bacterium partial 16S ribosomal RNA". It matches the Rfam family "Bacterial small subunit ribosomal RNA", at positions 355 to 776 of the family's 1533-position model. Lineage: Bacteria; Pseudomonadati; Acidobacteriota. The record is from RNAcentral.
UGGGGAAUCUUCCGCAAUGGGCGAAAGCCUGACGGAACAAUGCCGCGUGGAGGUAGAAGGCCCACGGGUCGUAAACUCCUUUUCUCGGAGAAGAAGCAGUGACGGUAUCCGAAGAAUAAGCAUCGGCUAACUCUGUGCCAGCAGCCGCGGUAAGACAGGGGAUGCAAGCGUUAUCCGGAAUGAUUGGGCGUAAAGCGUCUGUAGGUGGCUCCUUAAGUCCGCUGUCAAAUCCCAGGGCUCAACCCUGGACAGGCGGUGGAAACUACUAAGCUGGAGUACGGUAGGGGCAGGGGGAAUUUCCGGUGGAGCGGUGAAAUGCGUAGAGAUCGGAAAGAACACCAAAGGCGAAGGCACCCUGCUGGGCCGACACUGACACUGAGAGACGAAAGCUAGGGGAGCGAAUGGG